This 1470-nucleotide ribosomal RNA is filed under the name uncultured Bordetella sp. RNAcentral's name for it is "partial 16S-23S ribosomal RNA intergenic spacer". It matches the Rfam family "Bacterial small subunit ribosomal RNA". Lineage: Bacteria; Pseudomonadati; Pseudomonadota; Betaproteobacteria; Burkholderiales; Alcaligenaceae. The record is from RNAcentral.
AGAGUUUGAUCAUGGCUCAGAUUGAACGCUGGCGGGAUGGGCUUUACACAUGCAAGUCGAACGGCAAGCACGGACUUCGGUCUGGUGGCGAAGUGGCGAACGGGUGAGUAAUGUAUCGGAACAUGUGCCUAGUAGCGGGGGAUAACUACGCGAAAGCGUAUCUUCACAGCCACGCCCUUCGGGGGAAAGCGGGGGACCUUCGGGCCUCGCACUAUUAAGAGUGGCCGAUAUCGGAUUAGCUGGUUGGUGGGGUAACGGCUCGCAAGGCGACGAUCCGUAGCUGGUUUGAGAGGACGACCAGCCACACUGGGACGGCUGAACACGGCCCAGACUCCUACGGGAGGCAGCAGGUGGGGAAUUUUUACCGGACAAUGGAAACCCUGAUCCAGCCAUCCCGCGUGUGCGAUGAAGGCCUUCGGGUUGUAAAGCCUUUUGGCAGGAAAAACGGCACGGGAUAAUACCCCGUGCAACUAACAGUACUACAGAAUAAGCACCGGCUAACUACGUGCCAGCAGCCGCGGUAAUACGUAGGGUGCAAGCGUUAAUCGGAAUUACUGGGCGUAAAGCGUGCGCAGGCGGUUCGGAAAGAGAAAGAUGUGAAAUCCGACAACUUUGGAACUGCAUUUUAACUACGAGCUAAGAGGGGUAUUGUGCAGAGGUGGAAUUGCGUGUAGCAGUGAAAUGCGUAGAUAUGCGGAGGAACACCGAUGGCGAAGGCAGCCUCCUGGGAUAACGCAGCCUUCAUGCACGAAAAGCGUGGGGGAGCAAACAGGAUUAGAUACCCUGGUAGUCCACGCCCUAAACGAUGUCAACUAGCUGUUGGGGCCUUCAGACCUUGGUAGCGCAACUGCGUGAAGUUGACCGCCUGGGGCGGUCCGCAAGAUUAAAACUCAAAGGGAAUUGACGGGGACCGCACAAGCGACCGGAUGAUGUGGAUUGAUCGAUGCAGCAGCGGUAGCCACCUACCGCUUGACAUGUCUGGAAUCCCGAAGAGAUUUGGGUACUCGCAAGAGAACCGGAACACAGGUGCUGCAUGGCUGUCGUCAGCUCGUGUCGUGAGAUGUUGGGUUAAGUCCCGCAACGAGCGCAGCCUUGUCAUUAGUUGCUACGAAGGGCACUCUAAUGAGACUGCCGGUGACAAACCGGAGGAAGGUGGGGAUGACGUCAAGUCACUGUGGCCCUUAUGGGUAGGGCUUUACGUCAUACAAUGGUCGGGACAGAGGGUCAACCAACCCGCGAGGGGGAGCCAAUCCCAGAAACCGAUCUUAGUCCGGAUCGCAGUCUGCAACUCGACUGCGUGGUAGAUCGCUAGUAAUCACUGGAUCAGCAUGUCGCGGUGAAUACGUUCCCAGGUCUUGUACACACCGCCCGUCACACCGGGAGUGGGUUUGCAGGAAGUAGUUGGCCUAACCGCAAGGAGGCGAUUACCACGGUAGGAUUCAUGACUGGGGUGAAGUCGUAACAAAAUUG